This is a non-coding RNA of Mycena leptocephala, 96 nucleotides long. The record is from the annotation of a GenBank genome assembly. Lineage: Eukaryota; Fungi; Basidiomycota; Agaricomycetes; Agaricales; Mycenaceae.
GGCCUGGUGGUGAAAUGUAUCACACCUACUCUGCCUAUCUUCCCCACAGUACUCGGGUUUUGUAGGAGGUUCCUGGUUCAAACCCGGGUCAGGUCA